CUGCCUUUUUUAAUGCAAGAGUGAGAGAGAAAGCUGGGCAUGCUGGCCCAGCACUGGGGAGGCAGAGGUAGGAGGAU
RNAcentral lists this microRNA precursor (77 nucleotides) under Jaculus jaculus (lesser Egyptian jerboa). RNAcentral's name for it is "miRNA (ENSJJAG00000006688.1)". The record is from RNAcentral. Lineage: Eukaryota; Metazoa; Chordata; Mammalia; Rodentia; Dipodidae.